CGGCGGACGGGUGAGUAACACGUGGGCAAACUGCCUGUAAGACUAGGGAUAACUUCGGGAAACCGAAGCUAAUACCGGAUAGGAUCUUCUCCUUCAUGGGAGAUGAUUGAAAGAUGGUUUCGGCUAUCACUUACAGAUGGGCCCGCGGUGCAUUAGCUAGUUGGUGAGGUAACGGCUCACCAAGGCAACGAUGCAUAGCCGACCUGAGAGGGUGAUCGGCCACUCUGGGACUGAGACACGGACCAGACUCCUACGGGAGGCAGCAGUAGGGAAUCUUCCGCAAUGGACGAAAGUCUGACGGAGCAACGCCGCGUGA
Molecule: ribosomal RNA, 316 nt
Filed under: uncultured Bacillus sp.
Lineage: Bacteria; Bacillati; Bacillota; Bacilli; Caryophanales; Bacillaceae
Description: bacterial SSU rRNA
Rfam family: Bacterial small subunit ribosomal RNA
Source: RNAcentral